UACACUCCUACGGGAGGCAGCAGUGGGGAAUAUUGCACAAUGGGCGCAAGCCUGAUGCAGCCAUGCCGCGUGUAUGAAGAAGGCCUUCGGGUUGUAAAGUACUUUCAGCGGGGAGGAAGGCGAUAAGGUUAAUAACCUUGUUGAUUGACGUUACCCGCAGAAGAAGCACCGGCUAACUCCGUGCCAGCAGCCGCGGUAAUACGGAGGGUGCAAGCGUUAAUCGGAAUUACUGGGCGUAAAGCGCACGCAGGCGGUCUGUCAAGUCGGAUGUGAAAUCCCCGGGCUCAACCUGGGAACUGCAUUCGAAACUGGCAGGCUAGAGUCUUGUAGAGGGGGGUAGAAUUCCAGGUGUAGCGGUGAAAUGCGUAGAGAUCUGGAGGAAUACCGGUGGCGAAGGCGGCCCCCUGGACAAAGACUGACGCUCAGGUGCGAAAGCGUGGGGAGCAAACAGGAUUAGAAACCCCUGUAGUCCCAUGA
RNAcentral lists this ribosomal RNA (477 nucleotides) under uncultured organism. RNAcentral describes it as "partial 16S ribosomal RNA". It matches the Rfam family "Bacterial small subunit ribosomal RNA", at positions 332 to 800 of the family's 1533-position model. The record is from RNAcentral.